This 298-nucleotide long non-coding RNA is filed under the name Setaria viridis. RNAcentral describes it as "long non-coding RNA (SVIR_LNC004274)". The record is from RNAcentral. Lineage: Eukaryota; Viridiplantae; Streptophyta; Magnoliopsida; Poales; Poaceae.
CCUAGGGCAAACCAGGCUGCGUCCGCUCGGCGGACACCACCACCCGCGGGAGGCGGGGCUCGAUCCGUUCAUCGACGCGUCAGCCCCGUCCGCGACGCCCGCGACACCCUGGAUGCGCGGAGGCGUUCCCACGCAGAUAGGGAGGACGGGGUAGAUCACGGCUACCACGUCCACCGCGGCGGGCGCUACGACAGCGAGGAGGACCGCAGCCCGAGCCCCGAUCCGGCGGGGCCCCGGGCCUUCUCUGCACGCGUCCUGAACGCGCCUUUUCCGCCGCGCUUCAGGCAACCGACGAAUG